UGCCAGCAGCCGCGGUAAUACGAAAGGGGCAAGCGUUGUUCGGAAUUACUGGGCGUAAAGCGCACGUAGGCGGCCUUGUAAGUUGGGGGUGAAAUCCCGGGGCUCAACCCCGGAACUGCCUCUAAUACUGCUAGUCUUGAGUCCGAGAGAGGUGAGUGGAAUUCCUAGUGUAGAGGUGAAAUUCGUAGAUAUUCGGAGGAACACCAGUGGCGAAGGCGGCUCACUGGCUCGAUACUGACGCUGAGGUGCGAAAGCGUGGGGAGCAAACAGGAUUAGAUA
RNAcentral lists this ribosomal RNA (279 nucleotides) under uncultured bacterium. RNAcentral's name for it is "partial 16S ribosomal RNA". It matches the Rfam family "Bacterial small subunit ribosomal RNA", at positions 506 to 784 of the family's 1533-position model. The record is from RNAcentral.